Long non-coding RNA from Drosophila mojavensis, 1355 nucleotides. RefSeq lists it as uncharacterized. Lineage: Eukaryota; Metazoa; Arthropoda; Insecta; Diptera; Drosophilidae. The record is from RefSeq and is a predicted model, not a curated record. The transcript has 2 exons.
UUCAAAUUUGAAUUUAUGAAACAUAAACUUUUGUAGUCAUAAUUCACAGAAAUUUUGUAGUAAGCUGAACAGCUUUAAACUAUUCAAAUGCAGAUCAUUCGUAAGAAGCGCUGCGAAUUUAUUUUUAGAUUGCGAAAAUAUUUUAUAAAACUUACACAGGCAUUAAUUAAAUCGUAUAAAAUACGCCGACUGCCCGGUUCCUGUGGCUUUGAUCAGCCGUCAAGUGGUUUGAUCGAUUUCCAACAAUAAAAAUUCACCGACAACUUGUUCAUAAUGAAGAUCUGUUGUUGCCUCCACCUCAUUGGCGAUGUGUCUGUGGUCGAUCUUGUUGUUUUGGUGCGCACGGCGCAUCAAUCACCCGAAAGCUACGUAGCGAUCUCUACGGAGAUCGGUGAACGGGGAACGGGGCUGGGGAUUGAUGUCGGCAUCGUUGGGCGUUUCUGGUGCUGCGGCCCAUUGCCGGAAUGCCACGAUUGCCCACCCGUAUACUUGUUUGAUCCUUUUUUAUUUUACGGAACAAUCGAGCAUUUUCACACCGUAAUAAAAACCUCAAACAUGUUUGUAAAGUUGUUAAUGCUGCUGUGCUGCACCAUGUGUAGGUGGGAGCAACGCAUAAAUUAACAUUUUGACUGCCAACUGGCGCGGCAAAUGAUCAAAGACACUUCUGUGCCGUCAUCGUUGCGUUGAUCAUCGUCAUCGCCAUCAGACGGGCAGGCAGGCCACUGGGCCAGACGCAGCAGGAGUCGGAGUCGGGGUCGCUGGCGGAGAUGGAGGCGGAGGCGGUGGCAGCGGCGGCAUCGUGAACAUCAUUUCACGUUUACGAUCCAUCAACACGAGCCAUCAAAUUGUAUACAAACAAACGCAACAAAGAUCAAAAGCCAUAUUCAUUUGAAUAAAAUCUGGAACCGGGUCCCGCCAUUUGAGAGUUGCCUUUCAACAGCCACCGCUACCGUUGGAGAGACACUCUCCGCUCAGGCAAUGCAAAUGGAAAUGGAAAUGGGAAUGAAAAUGAAAAUGGAAAUGGAAAUGCCUCUUCAGCUUCAAUCUUAAUACAUAUUCCACUCCGCUCCCGUGCUCGGCUAAUUACUUAUGUGUCGGCGACUCCGCGGCCCGAGUGUAAUGCAUUUUUCAUGUGCCCCUCUGUGAGGAUUGUCUUAAUCCCUUGCGUACGUCGAGUGCGCACAAAAUGUCUCUUAUUUGUAUGUGAAGUGGAUGUUGAUUUAGUUAAGAAGGCUGGGUGUCAAAAGGAAGCGCAGUUUCUAUGUGUGUACUUAAGAGUUAAGAAGUAUUCGUGUGGACUGAGAGGAGCGUAAGACAUUUGGAAAGAUGUGCAAAUAAAGUUGGGCAAUGAUAAA